This 1125-nucleotide ribosomal RNA is filed under the name Triticum aestivum (bread wheat). RNAcentral describes it as "partial small subunit ribosomal RNA". The record is from RNAcentral. Lineage: Eukaryota; Viridiplantae; Streptophyta; Magnoliopsida; Poales; Poaceae.
AUGACCUGGCGUGUAAAUUAUGUAUUGGCUUGCUUAGGUAACAAAUUACUUGUCGGGACGAGUUAUGCAUAUUUGGUAACAAACCAAUUGAUAGACACAUGUUUUUUUGCUAAAUAUUGGCGAAAAACUGGCAACCAACCAAUUGAUAGCCAAACAUGCCAAAUGUUGGCAACUUCCAGCUUUGCCAAAAAUAGGCUUGCCAACAAUUGGCAUGCCAAAAAUUGGCUGCAAACCAAUCAGCCUCUACAUCAUCAACAUCAUACAUACAGGAAAAAAGAAACCAGGAAGGUAUUCUACAAUGGAGGAUCGUCAUCAGGACGACGUCUUUGGGUUUGCCUUCUCCCACCCGCCGCAGGAGUCGUCGCAGCAGCUCUCCUCGCCGAUGACCCGGUUGACGGUCCUGCCGACGCAGCUGGACGAGGCGCAGCCGCCGUCCCUGGCGUUGUCGAAGUCCGGCGCGAAGCCGAGGAACAUGGGCGGCUGCGUCUCCAUCCCGUGGCUGCUGCCCAGCGUCCCGUACUGCUUCUCCACGCCGCCGUCCUCCCGGAACCGGACCUUGCACCCGCCGCCGUCCUCCCUGCAGAGGAGCACGUCGUGGCCGGGGUUCCAGAAGAUGCGCACGCCGUGCGCCCAGCACAGGUUGGCGCCGCGGUAGGAGCAGAGCACCUCGAACACCUCGUCGCCGCGCACCGCCGGGAUCGACAUGCGCGCCUCCUCCGCGCUGGGGAUCUCGGCCCGCUCCGACCAGACCGGCGCGCUCAGGUUGUGCUCGCUGUAGCCGUGGCACAGCAGCUGCACGUUGCCGUCCGCCAUGUCCAGCUCCUCGCCCACCUGCUGCUCGUUGGUCACCACGAUCAGCAGCUUCGGCGCGGCGCCCGGCAGGAACGGCGACGGCAGGCGGGGGCACCGGUACCGGAGGAAGUAGCUGGUCGCCACCACCGCGGCGAUCAAGACGGCGAGGACGACGACCUUCACCGGCCCCGCGGCCAGGACGGCGACGACAACGACGACGACGAUGCUGCGCCGGCGGAGCUUAGGACCGUGGAGAUGGGGCUGCGCGUACGUGUGCUGUCGAGGCUGGCAUGCAAAGUGGCGCGCGCCUCGCUCAUGCAUGUUUCGCCGUGA